UACGAAGGGUGCAAGCGUUACUCGGAAUUACUGGGCGUAAAGCGUGCGUAGGUGGUUUGUUAAGUCUGAUGUGAAAGCCCUGGGCUCAACCUGGGAAUGGCAUUGGAAACUGGCUUACUAGAGUGCGGUAGAGGGUAGUGGAAUUCCCGGUGUAGCAGUGAAAUGCGUAGAUAUCGGGAGGAACAUCUGUGGCGAAGGCGACUACCUGGACCAGCACUGACACUGAGGAGCGAAAGCCAGGGGAGCAAACGGG
This 253-nucleotide ribosomal RNA is filed under the name uncultured bacterium. RNAcentral describes it as "partial 16S ribosomal RNA". It matches the Rfam family "Bacterial small subunit ribosomal RNA", at positions 524 to 776 of the family's 1533-position model. The record is from RNAcentral.